Molecule: unclassified non-coding RNA, 196 nt
Filed under: uncultured fungus
Lineage: Eukaryota; Fungi
Description: sequence contains ITS1
Source: RNAcentral
UUAACUAUUAUAUAGUACUCAGACGACACUAAUAUUCAGAGUUUAGGGGUCCUCUGGCGGGCACGCUAGACGCGAAUCUAGGCGCACGAGGCGCGGCCCGCCAAAGCAACAUUCUAUAAUGAUACACAAGGGUGGGAGAUCUACCCCGAAGGGCAUGAACUCUGUAAUGAUCCUUCCGCAGGUUCACCUACGGAAA